UCGCACGGGGGCGGGCGGAAAUGGGUUUUCUCCGGUCGGGGGCCGGGCUCGCGGCCUAUCAGCUUCGUUGGUGGGGCGAUCGGCUUUACCAAGGCUUUCGACGGGUAGCCGGCCUGAGAGGGUCGACCGGUCACAUUCGGGACUGAGAUACGGCCCAGAACUCCUACGGGAGGCAGCAGUGGGGAAAUAUUCGCACAAUGGGCGCAAGCCUGAUGCAGCGACGCGGCGUGAGGGAAGGAGGCCUUCGGGUUCGUGAAACCUCUUUCGCUCAUGGUCAAGCCGCAACUCGUGGUUCGUGGUGAGGGUAGUGGGUAAAAGAAGCGCCGGCUAACUACGUGCCAGCAGCCGCGGUAAUACGUAGGGCGCGAGCGUUUGUCCGGAAUUAUUGGGCGUAAAGGGCUUUGUAGGCGGUUGGUCGCCGUCUGCCGUGAAAUCCUCUGGCUUAACUGGGGGCGUGCGGUGGGUACGGGCUGGCUUGAGUGCGGUAGGGGAGACUGGAACUCCUGGUGUAGCGGUGGAAUGCGCAGAUAUCAGGAAGAACACCGGUGGCGAAGGCGGGUCUCUGGGCCGUUACUGACGCUGAGGAGCGAAAGCGUGGGGAGCGAACAGGAUUAGAUACCCUGGUAGUCCACGCUGUAAACGUUGGGCACUAGGUGUGGGGGCCACCCGUGGUUUCUGCGCCGUAGCUAACGCUUUAAGUGCCCCGCCUGGGGAGUACGGCCGCAAGGCUAAAACUCAAAGGAAUUGACGGGGGCCCGCACAAGCGGCAGAGCAUGCGGAUUAAUUCGAUGCAACGCGAAGAACCUUACCAAGGCUUGACAUGCACGGCGGCGCUGCAGAGAUGUGGUGGCAUUUGGUUGGUCGUGUGCAGGUGGUGCAUGGUUGUCGUCAGCUCGUGUCGUGAGAUGUUGGGUUAAGUCCCGCAACGAGCGCAACCCUUGCCCUAUGUUGCCAGCACGUGAUGGUGGGGACUCGUGGGGGACUGCCGGGGUUAACUCGGAGGAAGGUGGGGAUGACGUCAAAUCAUCAUGCCCCUUAUGUCUUGGGCUUCACGCAUGCUACAAUGGUUGGUACAGAGGGUUGCGAUACUGUGAGGUGGAGCGAAUCCCUUAAAGCCAGUCUCAGUUCGGAUUGGGGUCUGCAACUCGACCCCAUGAAGGUGGAGUCGCUAGUAAUCGCAGAUCAGCAACGCUGCGGUGAAUACGUUCUCGGGCCUUGUACACACCGCCCGUC
This 1233-nucleotide ribosomal RNA is filed under the name uncultured bacterium. Its description in RNAcentral is "bacterial SSU rRNA". It matches the Rfam family "Bacterial small subunit ribosomal RNA", at positions 186 to 1398 of the family's 1533-position model. The record is from RNAcentral.